CGGAGGGUGCAAGCGUUGUUCGGAAUUACUGGGCGUAAAGCGCGGGCAGGUGGUCUUUUAAGUCCUUUGUGAAAUCCCGGGGCUCAACUCCGGAUGUGCAUAGGAUACUGGAAGACUCGAGACUGGUAGAGGCGAGCGGAAUUCCUGGUGUAGCGGUGGAAUGCGUAGAUAUCAGGAAGAACACCGGUGGCGAAGGCGGCUCGCUGGGCCAGUUCUGACACUCAUCCGCGAAAGCGUGGGGAGCAAACAGGAUUAGAUACCCUGGUAGUCCACGCCGUAAACGAUGGGCACUAGAUGCCGGGCCUAUAGACGGGUUCGGUGUCGCAGCUAACGCAUUAAGUGCCCCGCCUGGGGAGUACGGCCGCAAGGCUG
RNAcentral lists this ribosomal RNA (372 nucleotides) under uncultured organism. RNAcentral's name for it is "bacterial SSU rRNA". It matches the Rfam family "Bacterial small subunit ribosomal RNA", at positions 526 to 896 of the family's 1533-position model. The record is from RNAcentral.